RNAcentral lists this transfer RNA (68 nucleotides) under Chondracris rosea. RNAcentral describes it as "tRNA-Leu". The record is from RNAcentral. Lineage: Eukaryota; Metazoa; Arthropoda; Insecta; Orthoptera; Acrididae.
ACUAUUUUGACAGAUUAAUGUGUUGAAUUUAGAAUUCAUUAAUGUAGAUUUUUUCUACAAAUAGUAUU